This 1166-nucleotide ribosomal RNA is filed under the name Saccharomyces cerevisiae (brewer's yeast). Lineage: Eukaryota; Fungi; Ascomycota; Saccharomycetes; Saccharomycetales; Saccharomycetaceae. The record is from RNAcentral.
AUGAGAUUAAAAUUAUUAAAUAUAAUUUUAUCAAUAAUAAAUAAACUUAAUAAUAAUAAUAAUAUUAUUAUUAAUAAUCUAUUAGAUUCAUUAAUAAAUAAGAAAUUAUUAUUAAAGAAUAUAUUAUUAGAUAUAAAUAAUAAAAAAAUAAAUAAUAUAAAAAGAAUAUUAAAUAAUAAUAAUAUAAAUAUUAAUAAUAAAUUACAACAUUAAAUAAUAUAAAUAAUUGAAAUCUACAAAUUUAUAAUUAUAAUAAAAAUAUAGAAAUUAUAAAUACUAUAAAUGAUAAAUUAAUUAAUAAAUUAUUAUAUAAAAUAAUAACUUUAAAAUUAAAUAAUAUAAAUAUUAAUAAAAUUAUUAUAAGUAAACUUAUUAAUCAACAUAGUUUAAAUAAAUUAAAUAUUAAAUUUUAUUAUUAUAAUAAUGAUAUUAAUAAUAAUAAUAAUAAUAAUAAUAAUAAUAAUAAUUAUUAUAUAAAUAUAAUAAAUAAAUUAAUAAAUAUUAUAAAUAAUAAUAUAAAUAAUAAUUUAUGUAAUAUUUUAAGUUAUUAUUAUAAUAAAAAAGUAACUAUUGAACCUAUUAAAUUAUCAUAUAUUUAUUUAAAUAGUGAUAUUUUUAGUAAAUAUAUUAGUUUAAAUGAUAUAGAUAAAUAUAAUAAUGGUAUCUUAACUAAUUAUCAACGUAUAUUAAAUAAUAUUAUGCCUAAAUUAAAUGAUCAUAAUAUUUCUAUAAAUUAUAUUAAUAAUAUUAAUAAUAUUAAUAAUAAUAAAUAUAAUAAUAUAAUUAAUUUAUUAAAUAAUAAUAAUAAUAAUAAUAAUAAUAUUAAUAAUAAUAAUAAUUAUAAUAAUAAUAAUAAUAAUUAUAUUGGUAAUAUUAAUAAUAUUUAUAAUAAUAUAACUAUUGAUAAUAUUCCUAUAGAUAUUUUAAUAUAUAAAUAUUUAGUUGGUUGAUCUAUUAAAUUUAAAGGUAGAUUAAGUAAUAAUAAUGGUAGAACUAGUACACUUAAUUUAUUAAAUGGUACUUUUAAUAAUAAAAAAUAUUUAUGAAGUAAUAUUAAUAAUAAUUAUAAAUUAAAUUAUAUCCCUUCUAAUCAUAAUUUAUAUAAUAAUUCUAAUAUUAAUAAAAAUGGUAAAUAUAAUAUUAAAGUUAAAUUAAACUUUAUUUAA